Rosa chinensis is the source of this 1123-nucleotide long non-coding RNA. RefSeq lists it as uncharacterized. The transcript has 3 exons. NCBI's taxonomy places the organism in Eukaryota, Viridiplantae, Streptophyta, Magnoliopsida, Rosales, Rosaceae. The record is from RefSeq and is a predicted model, not a curated record.
CUCUCUCUCUCUCUCUUUCUCUUCCAGACCACGACCAAAACUCUCACUUUUCUUUCUUUCUUCUCCAAGCAACUGCAGACUCUCUUCUCCAUUGAAACUUUACCAAUCUCACCCUUCGUUUUUCCAAAUCAGGUUACAUUGAAAAAAUUGGGUUGCUUUUAUGCCCAACAGCUGCUGCGUACAACGGAAGAAGAUGAUGGGUUGCAAAUUUUUAUGUCUUCAGAUGAUAUGGAAGAAGACUUACAAACAAAUCACUCGUCUAGUAUCACUGAAGUCCCUAUUGUUAAUGGCCCCUUUGUGAUUGAUGUUCCUGAUGAAUUCCUCUCAUUAUCGAUGAAAUUUUUUGAAAAUUGAGAAGACCUUGUUAGUGCUAUUCGUAAGAUUGGGUUGCUGCAAGGGUAUAUGUUAUGGUAAUCAAAAGAUCUAAAAGCAAUAGAUAUGUGGCUAUUGGUUGUGAUAGAGGUGGUUGUUAUCAACCUACUCUACACUUGGGGAGAAGAAAAAGCAUUCAGCUUCUCGUCAGAUAGAUUGCCCUUUCAAAAUUUUGGGAACAAGGACUUCCACUGACAUGGCUGGACAUCCAUAUUGUCAUCGGUUUACUAAAGAGGAAGCCUUACAAGUUGAACAAAUGAGUAGGGCUUGCAUAAAACCACGUCAAAUUCUCUCUUCGCUUAGACAAAGCAAUCCUGAUCUUUUAGCUGUUUUCAGAAAUAUAUAUAGCAAGACAGCUCAGUUUAGGAGGGAGAGUCUAGGUGGGCGUUCAAUUAUUCAAGCAUUAUUAGAUGAGCUUGGUGCUGCUGGUUUUUCUCAUAAUGUCAAAUAUGAUCACUCUAGUCAUUUGACUCAUCUAUUCUUUGCUCAUCCCACUUCCAUUGAGUUGACUAAAAGCUACUGUAAUGUCUUUGUGAUGGAUUGUACUUAUAAGACAAAUAAUUAAGUACAAGAUGCCAUUACUUGAGAUCGUAGGAGUGUCGAGCUUCAACAGAUCAUUCUAUUCGUGUUUUGUUUUCAUGCAAAAAGAGGAACAACAAGAUUAUCAUUGGGCUCUUGAAAUGUUCAGUAAGUUGUUGGGAGAUGGUAAUCAUCCAUUGGCAAUUGUAACUGAUAGGGAGUUGGCAUUAAU